This is a long non-coding RNA of Choloepus didactylus (southern two-toed sloth), 582 nucleotides long. RefSeq lists it as uncharacterized. The transcript has 2 exons. The record is from RefSeq and is a predicted model, not a curated record. NCBI's taxonomy places the organism in Eukaryota, Metazoa, Chordata, Mammalia, Pilosa, Megalonychidae.
CCCGGGUCGGGGUGAUCGGGCUGAGCUGGGGGAUGGGAGGGCGUCAUUCAUUCAUUCCACGCGUGCCUGCAUUUGCGCUGCUGUUAGGCACCGUUCUAGGCACAGGAGAUGGCCAUGAACAAGCCAGGGGUCAAGUGCAGCCCUGCCCUGGAAUGACUGCUGCUGGGUGGGAAGACGGGCAAGGCUGGGAGUCUGCUGCCCCUCCAGAGCCUUCCUGAGCUGAAUGUACCCAUCCUCUCAACUCACUGCUGCAGAGAAUUCGGCAGCCACCUGUUUCCCACCCAGCCCAGGCCACCAACACCAUCUCAAAUGAGGCCCCAUCUGGAGGAAGUGGGUUGAGAGCUUCAAUCCCUUGGGCUGAGCCCCUGUGAGCACCCAAGCCCCACAUCAAGAGGGUUUUACACUCCACCCCACCCCUCCCUGAACACCUGGGUCCCAAGGAAGAGGUUUCACCUCGGUUCCUUGGACCUGGAACCCACGAGUGGACUCAGAAGACAGAGAGAGUCGUGGGAAAGACUGCCCCAAAGAUCUCUUUUGUGCUUUCCUCCUCCCUCUCUGGAUUAAAAGAGCAUGAUAUCAGAA